AUCAAGUUUAUCAUGCUCGAUAAGAUUAAGCCAUCCGCACAAAACAACUCCAGCUGCACUUGUGAAGUACUGCAAUGCAGUUAGUGCUCCCGGGUACGGAAAUUUCAUUAUGGCCCACUUGUUAAUGAUGGAGAGCAGUGAUGCUGAAAGACAAACCGAUGCUUGCUGAAGUAAGCCACUAUACCAAGUUGAUUGGAAACUCUGAGACGGGGAAGAAGCAUCCAAAGAAGAUGAUGCUGAAAGACAGUACCCAGCAGCUAUACCAUAAACCGAUGCUUGCUGAAGUAAGCCACUAUACCAAGUUGAUUGGAAACUCUGAGAUGGGGAAGAAACAUCCAAAGACUCCCUGGAAUCUUCAUCUUUGGGAUUU
This 370-nucleotide long non-coding RNA is filed under the name Nicotiana benthamiana. RNAcentral's name for it is "long non-coding RNA (NBEN_LNC027908)". Lineage: Eukaryota; Viridiplantae; Streptophyta; Magnoliopsida; Solanales; Solanaceae. The record is from RNAcentral.